Pongo abelii (Sumatran orangutan) is the source of this 117-nucleotide unclassified non-coding RNA. It matches the Rfam family "Metazoan signal recognition particle RNA". From Rfam's summary of the family: The signal recognition particle (SRP) is a universally conserved ribonucleoprotein. It is involved in the co-translational targeting of proteins to membranes. The record is from Ensembl. NCBI's taxonomy places the organism in Eukaryota, Metazoa, Chordata, Mammalia, Primates, Hominidae.
GCCGGGCAUGGUGGGUCAUGCCUGUAAUCCCAGCACUUUGGGAGGCGGAGGCAGGUGGAUCACCUGAGGUCAGGAGUUCAAGACCAGCCUGGCCAACAUGGUGAAACCCUGUCUCUA